UUUUGCAUCCAUUUUUCCAAGAUGACAUGUUGUUAGCUAGGUCACUUUUAAUACAGCGUCUCUCCAUUUGUCACUAUUCUCUGUCACAUCAGCUCUCAUUACUGCACACAUCUUCACUCGGAAAGAGAAACUGUUAAUGGCCAGAAGAGUUAAUAGCUUUCAUGCAUCCAUCCAUCUAUCCAUCCACCCUUCUAUACAUUCAUGCAUUCUGAUAUACAGAGAAGCAAAGGCAUGUAGUUCACUUCAUAACCAUUUGGCUUCACUUGACUUGACUUGAGGCAGCAUUCACCCGGGGUGGGUUGAGCUGGCUUCAUUCAUCCUCAAUGCUGCAUCUCUCACAAACGCCGACCAGACCUGGCGAUUUGAGGCUAACAACCACGUGAUCUCCAACCACUCUUUAUUCCAGCGGUGAACGCCGUAAAUAUGGAGGCCUAGGUUGGGUACCAGAUCAGCCUUGACUGUCAUCAGCCAGAUUUCAUACCUGGCUG
This is a long non-coding RNA of Octopus sinensis (East Asian common octopus), 488 nucleotides long. RefSeq lists it as uncharacterized. The record is from RefSeq and is a predicted model, not a curated record. The transcript is spliced from 3 exons. Lineage: Eukaryota; Metazoa; Mollusca; Cephalopoda; Octopoda; Octopodidae.